GGAGGGUACAGCUCAAGUGGUAGAGUGCGUGCCUGGCAUGCAUGAGGCCCUGGGUUCCGUCCCCAGCACCUCCU
Camelus ferus (Wild Bactrian camel) is the source of this 74-nucleotide non-coding RNA. The record is from Rfam. Lineage: Eukaryota; Metazoa; Chordata; Mammalia; Artiodactyla; Camelidae.